Myotis lucifugus (little brown bat) is the source of this 75-nucleotide non-coding RNA. NCBI's taxonomy places the organism in Eukaryota, Metazoa, Chordata, Mammalia, Chiroptera, Vespertilionidae. The record is from Rfam.
GAGACACCCUUCUGGGGCAAGACUUGCUUCAGUGGGGCUUUGGUGCUCACUGAGUCUGCCCCCGAGUGUGUCCCU